RNAcentral lists this ribosomal RNA (501 nucleotides) under uncultured bacterium. RNAcentral describes it as "partial 16S ribosomal RNA". It matches the Rfam family "Bacterial small subunit ribosomal RNA", at positions 29 to 523 of the family's 1533-position model. The record is from RNAcentral.
AUUGAACGCUGGCGGCAUGCCUUACACAUGCAAGUCGAACGGCAGCACGGGUGCUUGCACCUGGUGGCGAGUGGCGAACGGGUGAGUAAUACAUCGGAACGUACCUUAUGGGGGGGGAUAACGCAGCGAAAGCUGUGCUAAUACCGCAUACGCCCUGAGGGGGAAAGCGGGGGAUAGCAAGACCUCGCGCGAUUAGAGCGGCCGAUGCCGGAUUAGCUAGUUGGUGGGGUAAAAGCCCACCAAGGCGACGAUCAGUAGCUGGUCUGAGAGGACGAUCAGCCACACUGGGACUGAGACACGGCCCAGACUCCUACGGGAGGCAGCAGUGGGGAAUUUUGGACAAUGGGGGCAACCCUGAUCCAGCAAUGCCGCGUGAGUGAAGAAGGCCUUCGGGUUGUAAAGCUCUUUUGUCAGGGAAGAGACACCGGCUCUAACACAGUCCGGGAAUGACGGUACCUGAAGAAUAAGCACCGGCUAACUACGUGCCAGCCGCCGCAGUAA